GUACCAUAUCUUUUGAAGAAAACAUGACCACCCCAAUAUUUCGGUGCUUGUGACUCUCAAGGAAAUAUCCGAGCUUCAUUCUGGUCCAUCACGUGGCUUUCAGGCAGUCUUAGGAUUGAUUGUACAAGUUCAAUCCUCGAUACAUACUGGGGAAGCCUCCAAGAAGUUUUGUGAUCGCAGGUGAGCCAAGUAAAACAUGCUGCUGAUUUGUGAUUGAAGAUGAGCUAAACCGAGCGCUUUGCAGACUUGUGGCUGGAGGUGGAGACAUAGCUUGGCAUUGAAACUCUGCACGGGGAUCAUCUUGGAGCAGCUUCCCUACUUUUUUGUGAACCCAAGAACCUCGCAGAUUUGUCCUUGGCGUGAACCAACAGAUUUGACUUAGUGCAAUAUUAGGUAAAUGAUCGAGAUAAGAUGGUUUUUUGGUUAUCUCGAUCAUUAUAUAACUGUUGGCUAGGUUUAGAGUUGGAACUAUGGAUUGUAUUUUGGAUGAUGUUGAUGCAAUGAAACGUAGACAUCAUUGUGAAUGCUGAUUUUAGUCCAAUUUUAUGGUUUUGAUGAUUGUAAAUGAAUGAUGUUGAAAUGGUUGAAAGGCAACAGAUA
Molecule: long non-coding RNA, 600 nt
Organism: Rosa chinensis
Lineage: Eukaryota; Viridiplantae; Streptophyta; Magnoliopsida; Rosales; Rosaceae
Exons: 4
Source: RefSeq, a predicted model, not a curated record